RNA transcript from Manihot esculenta (cassava), 1033 nucleotides. RefSeq lists it as uncharacterized. NCBI's taxonomy places the organism in Eukaryota, Viridiplantae, Streptophyta, Magnoliopsida, Malpighiales, Euphorbiaceae. The record is from RefSeq and is a predicted model, not a curated record. The transcript has 9 exons.
UCUAGAGAGAGUUUUUUUAGUUCUCAUUCAUGAAGUUCAGAAAAAUACCAACAAAACAAAUUUUAACGCUUUUUUAGGUACUUCAAACUACCUAACUAAGUUCCCCAACCAAACAGGCCUAAUUCGCGUUAUUAGGAUGUGAAUCUAAGGCUCGAGAUUUUAGGAUGGGUUGGGCCAACUGACGUGGGUUUUAAACACAAAUCAUAAGUUGGUAGGGACGCAAGAGGACCAGAGGAGGAGGAAGAGGAAGAAGAAGAAGGGGAAGAAAAUGGCGGAGUCAGUGGCAGUGUUGCUCAUCACCAUUUUCACCAUCUCGACCUUCACUAUUGUUUCGGCCGUCGAAGACAAGUGUGCUGCAUGUUAUGCCGUUGCGGAUGAGUUGGAGCAAGGACUUUCAAAUGAGAAACCAAAGAAUAAUUUGGAUAUGAGAGAUCGAUUGAAUUCUAAAGGUCAGCGUGAAGGAAAGGUAAUCGAUUACAGAGUCAGCGAACUGAGAGUUGUCGAACUCUUGGAUGGACUUUGCGAGAAGAUGCAAGAAUACACCCUUCAAAAGAUGGAUUCCACUACAAGCUGGUGGGUCAAAACUGAUUACUAUCUUUCAGAUGCUAUUUUUUGCUCAAUAUUAUGCAAGAGGCUCGAGCAUAUUCAAAAGAGAUAUCAUCUUAUUGUGGAAGGUUACUGGAGGAAACUGAAGAUGAGUUGGCAGAAUUGAUAAAGAAAGGGUCUGUGAAAGUUGGAGGUGUGAGGAAAGUUCUAUGUCAAGAUUUGAGCAAGCAUUGCGUCCAUUCAAGUUAUUCUCAUCAGUCGCAUGAGGAUGAUGAUGAACCAGAUGAAGAGCUAUGAGUCGGUAACUUGUCAUGAAAAAAAUUGCCAUGAUUGAACUUUGGAAUCUUCUUUCUUUUGGCAUUACAAUUUUGUUUCAAUACUUAAAACUGGUGCACUGUUGGGGCAUUGUUAGUUCUGUUUCCAUCCCCAAACAACUCGGACAAUUUUUAUUUAGUCACCCGACUUCAAGAGCUUCAAAUUUACUUCA